RNAcentral lists this ribosomal RNA (1440 nucleotides) under Lactiplantibacillus pentosus. Its description in RNAcentral is "bacterial SSU rRNA". It matches the Rfam family "Bacterial small subunit ribosomal RNA". The record is from RNAcentral. Lineage: Bacteria; Bacillati; Bacillota; Bacilli; Lactobacillales; Lactobacillaceae.
UGCAAGUCGAACGAACUCUGGUAUUGAUUGGUGCUUGCAUCAUGAUUUACAUUUGAGUGAGUGGCGAACUGGUGAGUAACACGUGGGAAACCUGCCCAGAAGCGGGGGAUAACACCUGGAAACAGAUGCUAAUACCGCAUAACAACUUGGACCGCAUGGUCCGAGUUUGAAAGAUGGCUUCGGCUAUCACUUUUGGAUGGUCCCGCGGCGUAUUAGCUAGAUGGUGGGGUAACGGCUCACCAUGGCAAUGAUACGUAGCCGACCUGAGAGGGUAAUCGGCCACAUUGGGACUGAGACACGGCCCAAACUCCUACGGGAGGCAGCAGUAGGGAAUCUUCCACAAUGGACGAAAGUCUGAUGGAGCAACGCCGCGUGAGUGAAGAAGGGUUUCGGCUCGUAAAACUCUGUUGUUAAAGAAGAACAUAUCUGAGAGUAACUGUUCAGGUAUUGACGGUAUUUAACCAGAAAGCCACGGCUAACUACGUGCCAGCAGCCGCGGUAAUACGUAGGUGGCAAGCGUUGUCCGGAUUUAUUGGGCGUAAAGCGAGCGCAGGCGGUUUUUUAAGUCUGAUGUGAAAGCCUUCGGCUCAACCGAAGAAGUGCAUCGGAAACUGGGAAACUUGAGUGCAGAAGAGGACAGUGGAACUCCAUGUGUAGCGGUGAAAUGCGUAGAUAUAUGGAAGAACACCAGUGGCGAAGGCGGGCUGUCUGGUCUGUAACUGACGCUGAGGCUCGAAAGUAUGGGUAGCAAACAGGAUUAGAUACCCUGGUAGUCCAUACCGUAAACGAUGAAUGCUAAGUGUUGGAGGGUUUCCGCCCUUCAGUGCUGCAGCUAACGCAUUAAGCAUUCCGCCUGGGGAGUACGGCCGCAAGGCUGAAACUCAAAGGAAUUGACGGGGGCCCGCACAAGCGGUGGAGCAUGUGGUUUAAUUCGAAGCUACGCGAAGAACCUUACCAGGUCUUGACAUACUAUGCAAAUCUAAGAGAUUAGACGUUCCCUUCGGGGACAUGGAUACAGGUGGUGCAUGGUUGUCGUCAGCUCGUGUCGUGAGAUGUUGGGUUAAGUCCCGCAACGAGCGCAACCCUUAUUAUCAGUUGCCAGCAUUAAGUUGGGCACUCUGGUGAGACUGCCGGUGACAAACCGGAGGAAGGUGGGGAUGACGUCAAAUCAUCAUGCCCCUUAUGACCUGGGCUACACACGUGCUACAAUGGAUGGUACAACGAGUUGCGAACUCGCGAGAGUAAGCUAAUCUCUUAAAGCCAUUCUCAGUUCGGAUUGUAGGCUGCAACUCGCCUACAUGAAGUCGGAAUCGCUAGUAAUCGCGGAUCAGCAUGCCGCGGUGAAUACGUUCCCGGGCCUUGUACACACCGCCCGUCACACCAUGAGAGUUUGUAACACCCAAAGUCGGUGGGGUAACCUUUUAGGAACCAGCCGCCUAA